UCCCACUGCUUCUGUUGAUCGGCCAUAGG
Molecule: non-coding RNA, 29 nt
Filed under: Homo sapiens (human)
Lineage: Eukaryota; Metazoa; Chordata; Mammalia; Primates; Hominidae
Source: RNAcentral